UGUGUGUGUGUGUAUGUGUGUAUAUACACAUAUGUGUGUGUGUGUGUAUAUACAUACACACACACACACACA
Molecule: non-coding RNA, 72 nt
Organism: Pelobates cultripes (western spadefoot toad)
Lineage: Eukaryota; Metazoa; Chordata; Amphibia; Anura; Pelobatidae
Source: the annotation of a GenBank genome assembly